Molecule: ribosomal RNA, 788 nt
Filed under: uncultured Bacillota bacterium
Lineage: Bacteria; Bacillati; Bacillota
Description: bacterial SSU rRNA
Rfam family: Bacterial small subunit ribosomal RNA
Source: RNAcentral
AUAACACUUGGAAACAGGUGCUAAUACCGCAUAACCAUAGUUACCGCAUGGUAACUAUGUAAAAGGUGGCUAUGCUACCGCUUUUGGAUGGGCCCGCGGCGCAUUAGCUAGUUGGUGGGGUAAAGGCUUACCAAGGCAAUGAUGCGUAGCCGAACUGAGAGGUUGAUCGGCCACAUUGGGACUGAGACACGGCCCAAACUCCUACGGGAGGCAGCAGUAGGGAAUCUUCCACAAUGGGCGAAAGCCUGAUGGAGCAACGCCGCGUGGGUGAAGAAGGUCUUCGGAUCGUAAAACCCUGUUGUUAGAGAAGAAAGUGCGUGAGAGUAACUGUUCACGUUUCGACGGUAUCUAACCAGAAAGCCACGGCUAACUACGUGCCAGCAGCCGCGGUAAUACGUAGGUGGCAAGCGUUAUCCGGAUUUAUUGGGCGUAAAGGGAACGCAGGCGGUCUUUUAAGUCUGAUGUGAAAGCCUUCGGCUUAACCGGAGUAGUGCAUUGGAAACUGGGAGACUUGAGUGCAGAAGAGGAGAGUGGAACUCCAUGUGUAGCGGUGAAAUGCGUAGAUAUAUGGAAGAACACCAGUGGUGAAAGCGGCUCUCUGGUCUGUAACUGACGCUGAGGUUCGAAAGCGUGGGUAGCAAACAGGAUUAGAUACCCUGGUAGUCCACGCCGUAAACGAUGAAUGCUAAGUGUUGGAGGGUUUCCGCCCUUCAGUGCUGCAGCUAACGCAAUAAGCAUUCCGCCUGGGGAGUACGACCGCAAGGUUGCAACUCAAAUGAAUUGACGGA